GAUGAACGCUGGCGGCGUGCCUAAUACAUGCAAGUCGAGCGAACAGACGAGGAGCUUGCUCCUCUGACGUUAGCGGCGGACUGGUGAGUAACACGUGGAUAACCUACCUAUAAGACUGGGAUAACUUCGGGAAACCGGAGCUAAUACCGGAUAAUAUAUUGAACCGCAUGGUUCAAUAGUGAAAGACGGUUUUGCUGUCACUUAUAGAUGGAUCCGCGCCGCAUUAGCUAGUUGGUAAGGUAACGGCUUACCAAGGCGACGAUGCGUAGCCGACCUGAGAGGGUGAUCGGCCACACUGGAACUGAGACACGGUCCAGACUCCUACGGGAGGCAGCAGUAGGGAAUCUUCCGCAAUGGGCGAAAGCUUGACGGAGCAACGCCGCGUGAGUGAUGAAGGUCUUCGGAUCGUAAAACUCUGUUAUUAGGGAAGAACAAAUGUGUAAGUAACUAUGCACGUCUUGACGGUACCUAAUCAGAAAGCCACGGCUAACUACGUG
Molecule: ribosomal RNA, 497 nt
Filed under: uncultured bacterium
Lineage: Bacteria
Description: partial 16S ribosomal RNA
Rfam family: Bacterial small subunit ribosomal RNA
Source: RNAcentral